UGGGGAAUUUUGGACAAUGGGGGAAACCCUGAUCCAGCCAUCCCGCGUGUGCGAUGAAGGCCUUCGGGUUGUAAAGCACUUUUGGCAGGAAAGAAACGUCGCGGGUUAAUACCCCGCGGAACUGACGGUACCUGCAGAAUAAGCACCGGCUAACUACGUGCCAGCAGCCGCGGUAAUACGUAGGGUGCAAGCGUUAAUCGGAAUUACUGGGCGUAAAGCGUGCGCAGGCGGUUCGGAAAGAAAGAUGUGAAAUCCCAGAGCUUAACUUUGGAACUGCAUUUUUAACUACCGGGCUAGAGUGUGUCAGAGGGAGGUGGAAUUCCGCGUGUAGCAGUGAAAUGCGUAGAUAUGCGGAGGAACACCGAUGGCGAAGGCAGCCUCCUGGGAUAACACUGACGCUCAUGCACGAAAGCGUGGGGAGCAAACAGGAUUAGAUACCCUGGUAGUCCACGCCCUAAACGAUGUCAACUAGCUGUUGGGGUCUUCGGACCUUGGUAGCGCAGCUAACGCGUGAAGUUGACCGCCUGGGGAGUACGGUCGCAAGAUUAAAACUUAAAGGAAUUGAC
RNAcentral lists this ribosomal RNA (566 nucleotides) under uncultured bacterium. RNAcentral describes it as "partial 16S ribosomal RNA". It matches the Rfam family "Bacterial small subunit ribosomal RNA", at positions 355 to 914 of the family's 1533-position model. The record is from RNAcentral.